UCCCUGGUGGCUCAGACGGUAAAGCGUCUGCCUGCAACACGGGAGACCCAGGUUCGAUCCCUGGGUCGGGAA
This 72-nucleotide transfer RNA is filed under the name Ovis aries (sheep). It matches the Rfam family "tRNA". Rfam says of the family: Transfer RNA (tRNA) molecules are approximately 80 nucleotides in length. The record is from Rfam by way of RNAcentral. Lineage: Eukaryota; Metazoa; Chordata; Mammalia; Artiodactyla; Bovidae.